This 253-nucleotide ribosomal RNA is filed under the name uncultured bacterium. RNAcentral describes it as "partial 16S ribosomal RNA". It matches the Rfam family "Bacterial small subunit ribosomal RNA", at positions 524 to 776 of the family's 1533-position model. The record is from RNAcentral.
UCCGUAGGGUGCGAUCGUUAAUCGGAAUUACUGGGCGUAAAGCGUGCGCAGGCGGUUAUGUAAGACAGAGGUGAAAUCCCCGGGCUCAACCUGGGAACUGCCUUUGUAACUGCAUAGCUGGAGUACGGCAGAGGGGGAUGGAAUUCCGCGUGUAGCAGUGAAAUGCGUAGAUAUGCGGAGGAACACCGAUGGCGAAGGCAAUCCCCUGGGCCUGUACUGACGCUCAUGCACGAAAGCGUGGGGAGCAAACAGG